RNAcentral lists this ribosomal RNA (253 nucleotides) under uncultured bacterium. RNAcentral's name for it is "partial 16S ribosomal RNA". It matches the Rfam family "Bacterial small subunit ribosomal RNA", at positions 524 to 776 of the family's 1533-position model. The record is from RNAcentral.
UACGAAGGUGGCAAGCGUUGUUCGGAUUUACUGGGCGUAAAGAGCGCGCAGGCGGUCGUUCAAGUCGAGUGUGAAAGCCCCCGGCUCAACUGGGGAGGGUCACUCGAUACUGAUCGACUUGAAGGCAGGAGAGGGAAGCGGAAUUCCCGGUGUAGUGGUGAAAUGCGUAGAUAUCGGGAGGAACACCAGUGGCGAAGGCGGCUUCCUGGCCUGUUCUUGACGCUGAGGCGCGAAAGCUAGGGGAGCAAACGGG